UUUGGAGAGUUUGAUCCUGGCUCAGGACGAACGCUGGCGGCGUGCCUAAUACAUGCAAGUCGAGCGAAGCUUAUCCUUCGGGAUAAGCUUAGCGGCGGACGGGUGAGUAACACGUAGGCAACCUACCCUCUAGACUGGGAUAACUACCGGAAACGGUAGCUAAUACCGGAUAAUUCCUUCACCCUCAUGGGCGAGGGAUGAAAGGCGGAGCAAUCUGCUACUAGAGGAUGGGCCUGCGGCGCAUUAGCUAGUUGGUGGGGUAACGGCCUACCAAGGCGACGAUGCGUAGCCGACCUGAGAGGGUGAACGGCCACACUGGGACUGAGACACGGCCCAGACUCCUACGGGAGGCAGCAGUAGGGAAUCUUCCGCAAUGGGCGAAAGCCUGACGGAGCAACGCCGCGUGAGUGAUGAAGGUUUUCGGAUCGUAAAGCUCUGUUGCCAGGGAAGAACGUCCGGUAGAGUAACUGCUACCGGAGUGACGGUACCUGAGAAGAAAGCCCCGGCUAACUACGUGCCAGCAGCCGCGGUAAUACGUAGGGGGCAAGCGUUGUCCGGAAUUA
RNAcentral lists this ribosomal RNA (563 nucleotides) under Paenibacillus sp. P3E. RNAcentral's name for it is "bacterial SSU rRNA". It matches the Rfam family "Bacterial small subunit ribosomal RNA", at positions 1 to 553 of the family's 1533-position model. The record is from RNAcentral. Lineage: Bacteria; Bacillati; Bacillota; Bacilli; Caryophanales; Paenibacillaceae.